Molecule: non-coding RNA, 2077 nt
Organism: Peromyscus maniculatus bairdii (prairie deer mouse)
Lineage: Eukaryota; Metazoa; Chordata; Mammalia; Rodentia; Cricetidae
Source: RefSeq, a predicted model, not a curated record
GAGGAAAAUGUUCUGAUCAAGUAUCAUCAUCUCACAAUAAAACUAACUAAUAAAGAAAUUUAAAGCUAGGAAAGUAACAAAGCAGAUAUGCAGAGAUCUAAAGUCUGCCAGGCUUAAUGGUAGACCUAAGGGUGCUUGACUACAAAAGACUGAGGAGAAGAGGUGGUGAUCUGGGACUUCGGGGCCCAAAGCUGGGAGAGAGUCUUAUGUAUCUCCUUGAAGUAAUUCCUGCAGACGGCUGCUUUCUGUCUAAGUGUCUUAUCUCAAUGACUGUCCUGUGGUCUAGACUCAAGCCACCAACAACUGUGUCCUGUGCCUUAGGAAGGAGCUAGAAUCUCUCCCCGGAAUGACCAUGGAAUGACAGCUCAAAACCUUUCGGAGUGCCCUAGAUCAAGAGUCACCAUCAAAAGAUCACGGUGUAAAAGAUGCGCUCUCGUCCUGCGGCUCUGAAAGGGAGACAGGAGCUGCCUGAUGGGGAAGAUCAAGCGGCCUUUGAAAACCCCUCUCGGAGUUUAUUAAACCCUGGGGCUAGGGCAGGCCAACCUGGAGGCCCAGCCAGGCCCGGCUCCACCCCCCCAUGGACUUCCCAGAGGGGACCUAGCCUGUUCUCUCCCCCUAAACUUGACAGGCCUGUGCCCGGACGGGACGUGAGGAUUGAAGUAGGAGCCUGAGCACCUAGGGUAGAGACUAUCAUCUUUUUCAAGGUGGAUGGGGCAGAGACUAGCCACUUCCCCAGAUGGCCAGGGCCUCUCUCCCUGGGCCACUCAAGAUGUCCUCAUUUCCUACAGGGACUCUCUUUAUUAGCUCUCCCAAGUGUUUGCUCAAGGCACAGAGCGGGGAGUGGAAGGGGAGCCACCAAGGGUCUCUAGGCUCGACUGCAGCUCAGUGACCAGGCAAGGGCGGGAUGAAGAUGAGCAGGGCAAGACUUAGGUUUCUACACUCUGGAAGGCCCUGGGAGAUGGAAGGCACAAGAACGCAUGCUCAGUGUUCCCUCCGAACUCUUGCCAGCGCCCGCCCACGCUGUGCUCUGAGGAUAGGUCUGGACUGACACCAUGCUCCCCGCCAACAGUGAGCUCCACACGGCCAUUCAGCCCAGGAGCAGGCCCAUAAACACGGAGGCUUGGAGUCAAGGUAGUUAUAUUCUCGAACUUCCACAAAUAUUGACCAGGGCAUUCUGUGCGCUAGGGCACCAUCCUGCACACUGGACAGGCAGUGGUCUGUCAAGCAGCGGACGCAUGUUGUUAUCGACAGGGUGUGGUGUUACUGACACUCUGGGGUCAACUCAUGGUAGCCCCACACCCCGAGAGGCCUCCUGCUUGUCAGGUGACUGGGCCCCGGGGAGAAGUGGCAGGGCCCUGGGAUAAGACUGUUCUCUGGUAUGUCAGUCAGCUGCUUCCACCUGAUGAGUGUCUCUCCCGAGACUCUGAGGACAAGUUCUUUUCAAAAGAUAAUUCAGUCUAAAACAUUAAAAGAGCCGGUAAGAUGGCUCAGUGAGUAAAGGCGCUUGCAAGUCUGACAACCUGAGUUUGAUCCCUGGACCUCAAGGAAAGGGAGAAAUAGAAACCCAGCUCCAUAAAGUUUUCCUUGGACCUCCACAUUUGUGGCAUGACAUAUCACACACACACAUACACACAUCAUACACACACACAUCAUACACACACACACACACACACACACACACACACACGCACACAGGCACGCACACAGUCGCGCACACACACAUCACACACACACACAUCACACACGCAUGCACGCACGCAUGCACGCACGCCUGGUCUUGUUUCACUGACCCUGUCACCCCCAGAACUGCUCCAAGGCCACCCAUACUCUUCAUUGAUUGACACCUCCAGGAGAGGGCGCGCUUCCUCCCUGGCCAGCUCUGGGUUUGGAAUGCAGAUCAAUCUCUGCCCCUUUUUAUGCUUCCCCUUUAAACAAGUUCAAAGUCCUUUACAGAUUCCCUGAAGAAUCUCUUUCUUCACAACUGUAGAGAAUAAACAGACGGGAACAGUCUGAAGAUAUAAAACUGGAGUUCAAAGCUGUGUGUGUCGACAGUUCCCGAACCUGGAAUAGAUUGCAA